This 253-nucleotide ribosomal RNA is filed under the name uncultured bacterium. RNAcentral's name for it is "partial 16S ribosomal RNA". It matches the Rfam family "Bacterial small subunit ribosomal RNA", at positions 524 to 776 of the family's 1533-position model. The record is from RNAcentral.
UACGUAGGUGGCAAGCGUUGUCCGGAUUUACUGGGCGUAAAGAGCGCGCAGGCGGUCGUUCAAGUCGCGUGUGAAAGCCCCCGGCUCAACUGGGGAGGGUCACGCGAUACUGAUCGACUCGAAGGCAGGAGAGGGAAGUGGAAUUCCCGGUGUAGUGGUGAAAUGCGUAGAUAUCGGGAGGAACACCAGUGGCGAAAGCGGCUUCCUGGUCCAGCACCGACGUUCAGGCACGAAAGCGUGGGGAGCAAACAGG